UACGUAGGUGACAAGCGUUGUCCGGAAUUACUGGGCGUAAAGCGUGUGUAGGCGGCCUUAUAAGUCGGAUGUGAAAGCCCAGGGCUCAACCCCAGGCGUGCACCCGAUACUCCCGGGCUGGAGGCAGGUAGGGGAGAUCGGAAUUCCUGGUGUAGCGGUGAAAUGCGCAGAUAUCAGGAGGAACACCGGUGGCGAAGGCGGUUCUCUGGGCAUGACCUGACGCUGAGGAGCAAAAGUGUGGGGAGCGAACAGG
Molecule: ribosomal RNA, 253 nt
Filed under: uncultured bacterium
Lineage: Bacteria
Description: partial 16S ribosomal RNA
Rfam family: Bacterial small subunit ribosomal RNA
Source: RNAcentral